This 468-nucleotide ribosomal RNA is filed under the name uncultured bacterium. RNAcentral describes it as "partial 16S ribosomal RNA". It matches the Rfam family "Bacterial small subunit ribosomal RNA", at positions 28 to 507 of the family's 1533-position model. The record is from RNAcentral.
GACGAACGCUGGCGGCGUGCUUAACACAUGCAAGUCGAACGGAAAGGCCCUGCUUUUGUGGGGUGCUCGAGUGGCGAACGGGUGAGUAACACGUGAGUAACCUGCCCUUGACUUUGGGAUAACUUCAGGAAACUGGGGCUAAUACCGGAUAGGAGCUCCUGCUGCAUGGUGGGGGUUGGAAAGUUUCGGCGGUUGGGGAUGGACUCGCGGCUUAUCAGCUUGUUGGUGGGGUAGUGGCUUACCCAGGCUUUGACGGGUAGCCGGCCUGAGAGGGUGACCGGGCACAUUGGGACUGAGAGACGGCCCAGACUCGUACGGGAGGCAGAAGUGGGGAAUAUGGCACAAUGGGCGGAAGCCUGAUGCAGCAACGCCGCGUGCGUGAUGACGGCCUUCGGGUUGUAAACCGCUUUCGCCUGUGACGAAGCGGGAGUGACGGUAAUGGGUAAAGAAGCACCGGCUAACUACGUG